CCAAUAGCGUAUAUUAAAGUUGUUGCAGUUAAAAAGCUCGUAGUUGAAUUUCGGGAUUCAUCCGUUGGUCGGGCCUCACGGUCCGUACUGGUGUGAUGGGUUCCUACCUUCUGAAUAACCGGCAUGCCAUUAAUUUGGUGCGCCGGGGAAGCAGAACUAUUACCUUGAAAAAAUUAGAGUGCUUAAAGCAGGCAAGUGCCUGAAUAGGUUAGCAUGGAAUAAUAAAAUAGGACGGCAUGGUUCUAUUUUGUUGGUUUCUAGGAUCACCGUAAUGAUUAAUAGGGAUAGUUGGGGGCAUUAGUAUUCAAUUGUCAGAGGUGAAAUUCUUGGAUUUAUUGAAGACUAACUUCUGCGAAAGCAUUUGCCAAGGAUGUUUUCAUUAAUCAAGAACGAAAGUUAGGGGAUCGAAGACGAUCAGAUACCGUCGUAGUCUUAACCAUAAACUAUGCCGACUAGGGAUCGGACGAUGUUAAUUUUUUAAUGACUCGUUCGGCGCCUUACG
This 502-nucleotide ribosomal RNA is filed under the name uncultured Glomeromycotina. RNAcentral describes it as "partial small subunit ribosomal RNA". It matches the Rfam family "Eukaryotic small subunit ribosomal RNA", at positions 591 to 1092 of the family's 1831-position model. Lineage: Eukaryota; Fungi; Glomeromycota. The record is from RNAcentral.